Molecule: long non-coding RNA, 547 nt
Filed under: Carica papaya (papaya)
Lineage: Eukaryota; Viridiplantae; Streptophyta; Magnoliopsida; Brassicales; Caricaceae
Description: long non-coding RNA (CPAP_LNC010894)
Source: RNAcentral
AAGAGACAAAAAAUUUCUACUGCAGUGGCCAAUUGACAAGGUAAUUAUAGCCCCCUGCGAUGGCUUCCAUAUGGCCUGCAUGCAUGCCAUGGGAUUUUGAUUGGUAGGCCACCUUGGCCAAUCAACAACCAAAGAUUUUUGCAUGUUAUCCAAUAAUCACAUGCCUUCUCCUCUCUUUUAAAAGCUACUCUCACACCUUCCUCUCAUUCUUCACACUUCCAUUUUCCUUCUUCAAGCUUGGGCGAGUGUGAUAGAAAGGCUAGAUAGAGAGAGAGAAACAUGAAGACCCAAAUGUCUUUUUCUCCAAAGUAUAACCAUGUUGCCUCUUUUUGACACAGUAAGUCUUCUUCCUUUUUUUCUUCUUGUUGUUUUUUCUUUUGGGUGUUAAGAAGACUCACCCAAAUUUCCUUUCCAUCCCAAUAUGUGUAAGAAAUCUUCGGUGGAAACCAAGUGCAGCAACACAUGAUCAUUCUUCACCAACUCAUGAAACCUUAAUAUUGUUUCUUCAAGAGUACUUGAAACCGUAAUUACUUGUCAUUAUUUUUUU